This 390-nucleotide ribosomal RNA is filed under the name Syndiniales sp. RNAcentral describes it as "partial small subunit ribosomal RNA". It matches the Rfam family "Eukaryotic small subunit ribosomal RNA", at positions 582 to 975 of the family's 1831-position model. The record is from RNAcentral. Lineage: Eukaryota; Dinophyceae; Syndiniales.
AUUCCAGCUCCAAUAGCGUAUAUUAAAGUUGUUGCGGUUAAAAAGCUCGUAGUUGGAUUUCUGUCAAAGGUGAGGUGGUCCAUCUUAUGGAUGUGUAUCUACCCAUGCCUUGGCAUCUUCUUCAAGAACGCUUUCGCGCUUCAUUGCGUGAUGCGGAAUUGAAGACUUUUACUUUGAGGAAAUUAGAGUGUUCACGGCAGGCAAUCGCUUUGAAUACAUUAGCAUGGAAUAAUACUAUAGGGCCUCGGCUUUAUUUUGUUGGUUUCUAAAGCUGAGGUAAUGAUUAAUAGGGAUAAUUGGGGGUCUUUGUAUUGCAACGUCAGAGGUGAAAUUCUUGGAUUGUUGCACGACAAACUACUGCGAAAGCAUUGGCCAAGGAUGUUUUCAUUA